Molecule: unclassified non-coding RNA, 323 nt
Filed under: Hevea brasiliensis (rubber tree)
Lineage: Eukaryota; Viridiplantae; Streptophyta; Magnoliopsida; Malpighiales; Euphorbiaceae
Source: RNAcentral
UUAAAAAGUUGUUCUUAGUGCAGUAGGAAUAAAAAGGAACUGAAAAGUACAUAUUACAUCUUAGGUAACAUUCAUCUGAUAGGUUUAAGCUGGAAAUCUUGAAAUUUAGGAGCGCUACUUCUCUAGGAUCUUUUACUCUAAACAGGUCUUGCAGAUCAUACAGUCAGUUCAUGUACUGAUGAUGAACCAAGCUGAAGCUGUUACAUGAGAGGAUAGAAAACAGCUACAUUUGCAAUAGAUGAGUAGAAUAAUUACAGCUUGAGAUUCAGAUCAAUCUUAUUUGUAUUUGAAGCCUGGUCUUGUGAUUGAUGUAUGGCUUUAUG